This 375-nucleotide long non-coding RNA is filed under the name Mytilus galloprovincialis (Mediterranean mussel). Lineage: Eukaryota; Metazoa; Mollusca; Bivalvia; Mytilida; Mytilidae. The record is from RNAcentral.
UGAGACUGUUAUGCUGAUAGUUUUACUUUCAGUAGAAACUUCUAUGAUUUAAGACAGUUAUACUAAUAGUUUUGUUUUCAGCUAGGAAUGGAGACUGUGUUACUUACAAGUAAUUAUACCAAAUAAAACACUGCCACCAUUUCCUCACUCAGUUAUAGAUGAUUUGCAUGUUAAUUCAGUUAUAUCAGCCCGUAAAGAAUAACCUUCAAUAUUUCAUCUGAUAAUUAGAUUUCCUUGGUACGGUACAUUGUCAUGUUAAUACUGAAAGGGGAAGAUGAUGUUAGUUUACCUGAGGAAUUAUCAGGGGGAAUAUUUAUUGUCGUAUAAUAAUAACAAAAUUAUUCAGGGAAACAAUACCAUUCUCAAGAGACGGAC